GUUUUUAUCUUCUUCAUCUUCUACUUCUUCUUUUUCACAUCAAGAGCAAAUAAGGAGCUUUGGAGUUUUCAAACGCAAUUUAAAACGUGCACCCCUUGGAUUUUGGCAUGCACUAAGAAAAUCCUCACUGGCUCUUACAAAAGAUAGUGCUUUGAUUCUCAAUGGAUUGUGCUACUUUUUGUUUCAAAGGUAGGGGUUUUUCUUCUUUGAAUCUCUUGUUUUUGUUUGUGCUAUUUGGACUUUAAUUCCUUCCAGUUUCUUUGAUUUGUGAAUUCGUUAAAUGGGUAUUUCAUAUGCUGGUAAAUCCUAAAGGUAAUGAUUUUACACAAGGCGCAUGCAUGGUUUGAAAUGUCAUAUUUACUCUUUGUUUAAUCUUUGCAUAAUGAGUUGCAUAUAAAAUUUGAAUGCCUAUGAAUGAUUUUUGAAUAUUAAAAAUGUAUUUAGUUCAUUCAAGUUCUGAUUUUUAUGAAAAAUCAAGUCUUCAAUUGAGUUUCUAAAAUAGCCCAUCAAGUGUUUGUGAAAAGAACCUUAAAUUCCUGCGAAGGUACUUCUGGCCUGUUUUAUUGAGACUUUUCGACACUGCUACAUAACCCAUUUGCUUUGCUUAUCAUUUUUAACUUGAAUAGGGAUUUCUUAGCUUUUCAAAGAGACCAAAAUCUCUGAAUUCCAUCACUAAAUGAUUUUUGUACGAAUGUUUGAUCGGAGCCUGCCGAAACUACAAGUUUUCUGAAAACAUGUUUCUGGCCUAUUUUAUUAAGACUUUUCGAAACAGCUAUACAACUGGUUACUCUGGUUUAUAAUUUUUAAGUUAAAGAGAGAUCUCUCAGCUUUUCAACAAGACCAAACUUGCCCAUUUCCAUCGCCUAAUGAAUUUUCUAUUGUACACUACCAAAAACAACAAUUUUUUGGAAACAAAGUUACUGUCCUGUUUUUUCGAAACUUUUACGCACAGCUGUGCAUAUUAUUGCUACUGCUCAUCAUUUUUAAGUUAAAGAGGAUUUUCUCAUCUUUCAAAAGAGACCAAAUUCGUCAAAUUCCAUUGCAUAACGAAUUUUGUGUGAUUUUUUGAUUAUAGACUAUCAAAACUGCAAUUUUGCUGAAACCGCAAUCCCUGUCCUGUUUUGUCGAUACUGUUACGCAUAACUAUGCAUCUCAUUGCUACUUCUUAUAAUUUUUAUGUUAAAGAGUGCUUUCUUAGCUUUCCAUCAAUGUGACACUGGCCGAGUUCCGUCGCUUAAUGAAUUGUAUACGGAUUUUCGAUUAAAGAUGGUCAAAACUGGAGAUUUUAUGAAUAUUCAUCUCAUGUUUAUAUUCCUUACUGUUUAUGCUCAAUGAUUUGAGAAGUUGCAUUCCUUUAAGUUAUCUGAUGAUUGAAAUGUUCUCUUGUAAACUUUGCUAUUAAGCUUUGAUGGAUUAAGUUUGUUGAUUUAUAAACAUGACUCUCAGUAGAUGUAUGCUUAAUCGAAUUUUGAGGAUGCUGCCAAUACUUACUUUUGUGUAAGUUUUAGUUAUGGAUUUACGAUAUUUUCAUAACUUGGUUUUAUGGAUGUUUCCUUGACGAAUACGGAUUUGAUUUGGAAACUAGUGUACUCUACUAUAGGACCGUCAGGCCUUAAUUGUCAACCCAUCUACGGAUGGCAACCCAGAAGACCGUUUGUUUGAUAACGGUGGCUGGUAUCGGACUACCCUGACGUUGGCGCUGGCCUUGUAAAUAGUGGAGUAAAUAUUUAUUUGAAACGAAGUGAAUGGCAGCUUGCAAAUGUUUGGGAAAGAAUGCUUUACAAGGUUCGUGGCGUACAACAUGGAAGAUCAGAUUUUACAAGCUCAACAAGGGAGACUGAGACUCAAGAUUGGCAAACAGUUUCGAGGAAAAAAAAUUCGAAGAGCGAGCAUGUUCACUCAGGGAAAGAGAUCAUGAUUGAUUGUAAGUUUAAAUUUUUUAGUAUUUCAUCGAGAUCUAGUGGUGUUUUUUUGAUGAGAAAACAAGGGAUACAAAGAAGGUUCUUCAAGUUUUGAUCAGUAAUGAAGGAGUUAUUUGGCUGAGUAAUAUAAUGAAAAGGGAGUCAAAAAAGAAUUUCUAUGGCAAAUGGUAUUGGAUCUUUCACAGAGGUAACGAACAUAUACUUUUUUCCAGGGAUCAAAACAAGUAUGGAGAGUUUCUCCGUGUUUCUUAUUCAUGUGAAAAGAUAAAGCAUUAGAUGUGUUUUCCAGCUGAAAAUGAUUCAUCCAGAUGGAUGCCUUUUGUUUAUGGCUUUUCUGAUAUUUUUUUUGCAAAAGAAGGUUCCAUCUUCACAGAUUGAACCACAAUCUGAGGCUGCACUGACCGAGUCACAAUCUGCUGAAGAUGUUUCACAUGUGCAGAUUGAGUCGCAAUCUGUUCAUCAAGUCGAAUUAGUUGCAUAGUUUGAGUCGCAAUUUGCUGUUACUGAUUUCUCACUUGAGAAAUCAACACAAGAGAGUUGGAAUCAGGCUAUUAUCAUAGAAACAUCUAUUGAGCUAAGAAGGCCUUUUUCCUUCUUAUUUGGACAAUAAAAAGGUUCUGUUAAACAAUGGUCAUUGGGAUUUUGAUGGUAUUUUCAUUAGAUUGAUACCUUGGUGGAAUGCAACUGUUGCUCUACCCUCUAUUUCCUCAGAAGGUUUUUGGAUGGAGGUUAAAGGUGUUCCGUUUGAUUUAUGGGGAAAUAAAUUUUAUCAAGAAUUAGGUAUGAUGUUUGGAGGUUUAAUGGAGGUUCAUGCUUCAACACUGUCGUGGAGCGACGCCUCAGCCAUUAGAGUCAAGGUCAGGAAUUUCAAUGGGCUUAGUAUUUCAUUCGUUUUUUGAUUUGAAGGUUCUUUCUUUCCCAUUCGGAUCUCUUCAUUUAAGAUCUUUGAUGGUAUUUUUGAUCAAACAAACCAAAAAGUUAUGGUUCAGAAUUUGGAGUGCAUCUCUGUAGAUUCUCCAAUUGAUUCGGUUCCAGCUAUGUCAUUCAAUGUAAAUUGGCCGAAAAAACCUCGAAAUAUUCUUAGACCACGUGAUUCUCGCCGGAAAAAUAUGUUUCGGAAAUUUUCUUUCGCUGAAAAAGAAAAGGCAGUUAAUGAUAAUUCGAAUUUUGAAUUUACCUACAAUAAAAAUGGAAAAAGGAUACGGACUUCAGAUUCGGAUUCGGGUACUAAUACUUUAAAUUCGGAAUCAUCUGAUUAGGUUAAUGGUAUGAUUUUGACACGUGUGGAAGAUUCAAACUCAGCAACUUCUUCAGUUUCAAAAGAAACUUCGACAAUGGCUAUAUUACCCAUUUUUCAAAAUGAAGAUGAAGUUAAUGAGUAUCUAAAAAUAUCAGUCUCUAUUUCUUACCUACAAAUGAUAGAUUCUUCAGGAACUUCUUUACCUGUUCCCCCAUCUACUAGUCUCUUCCACAGUAAGAAUUUUGAUUCUCCAAGAAGAUUUGAUUUCUUUCUGAGUAGUAAUGAAAAAUGGAGUACUUUGAAAUUAAAAGUUGAUCCUCUUCUGAGACAAGAUUUCGAGAAGGUUCUAAUGCAAAUGGUUUGUAUUUGUCCAAAAUUGGAUAUACACUUUAAAGGAUCGCAAGUGGAGAUUGAUGAUGCGAUGAUUGACACUUUAGGGGAUUCAUCUGUUCAACUUCAAUGUGGAGCAUAAGAAAUUUUGCUAGUUUUUUUCGGUGCUGGUAUUCUGGUUUAUGGAUUUCAAAACAAUUUUUUGGAAUGUUAGGUGUCUUAAUGAUCUGAAUCGCAGAGACAUUAUAAAAAAGUAAAUUGGUGAUUGGAAGCCAAGUAUAGUUUUACUUCAGGAGACAAAGAUUCAGCAAUGUUAUGAUUUUAUAGUUUGGUAAUGUUGGAGUAAUAAAAAUGUUAAAUGGUUGGGUUCUCCUUCUCAAGGAAGUUCAAGUGGAAUUUUAUGUAUGUGGGAGUCUUCUAAGGUUGAAGUUAUUGAUUCUCUUAUUGGGCCUUAUUCAAUUAGAUUGAAUUACAAAACAAUCUCAAAUUAUUUUGAGUGGAUGUUUACAAGUGUGUAUGCACCUUGUGCUUCUAAUGUUGAAGAAGUUAUACUCUUUUAGAGAGAAAUUGAGGAAUUUAGAUGCUUUUGGCAACUUCCUUGACUUGUGGGUGGAGAUUUUAAUGAAAUAAAGUUUACUCAUGAAAGAACCUCAGAUGGAGAUUAUACUGCUGGUAUAUAUGCAAAGAUUUAACAAGUUCAUUUCCAAACAUCACUUGAUUGAUCUUCCUAUGCAUGGUGCUACUUAUACCUGGACAAAUAAUCAGACUCAGAGUAUAAGAAGUCGUAUUGAUAUAAUCCUAAUUUAUGUUUCAUGGGAGAAUUUCUACCCUCAAGUUAUGCAAUAAGCAUUAGCAAGACCCUGCUCUGACCAUAAUCCAAUUUCUUUAAUUUGUAAAGGAGUGAAGCAUGGACCCUAUCCUUUUCGCUGUGAGUUUUUCUGGUUUUCUCAUCCCAAUUUUUUUCCUUUUGUAAAGGAACUAUGGUUGUCUUUCUCUGUUAAAGGAAGUGUUGUCUUUGUUUUUUGUAAGAAGUUGUAGUUGUUAAAGCCAAAAUUGAAGGAAUCGAGCAAGGAGCAUUUUGGUGAUCUGGAAAAAAGGCUAGAAGAAUUAGAAGAUGUUUUUGUGGAAUUGGAUGCUUUGGAAAAUGUCAACAGUGGUCUCACAGAAACUCAAUGGGAGGAGAGAGCUAAUGUUAGACAAGAGUAUUGCAAAUUAACAAUUCUAAGAGCUGAAAAAUUGAGGAGUAGGGCAAGAGUAAUUCACACUAAAGAUUUUGAACAUAAUACUAAAUAUUUGCAUAGAAUUGUUAAUGACAGGAGAAGGAGAAACUACAUUGGCUCAAUAAAAGUUAAUGGCAACAUGACUUCAGAUGAGGAUGAAAUAAAGAAUGGCAUUCUGGAUUUCCUCAAGAAUAUUUUUCAGACUCAACCUCAAAGAACAGUUAAUAUGGAGGGCAUGAAUUUUUCAACCAUUUCUGAAGAUUUGAGCUCUUGGUUAGAAACGGACAUUGAUGAGGAAGAAUGUGUGGCAACUAUAAAAAGUCUUGGAAAAAAUAAAGCCACAGGAAGAAUGUGUGGCUUUCCUGUAAGCUUCUAUCUUUUGUGUUGGGAUUUCAUUAAACAUGAAUUCUUAUAGUUAGUCUUAUGGGCUAAAUUGGAGGUGCUAGAUUAGCACUUAAGUGUUACAAUUCAAAAAAAAAAGUGUGGCAAAAACGUCAACACUAGUUCUCUCUCCUACGAGUUGCUAGCAUGUGAACUAGCAUGCUAGAUAGAUACGUCGUAUGAUUCAGCGCCUGAAAAACCACCUUUUCGCGGAAUGGUUCAGCGCUGAGAGAUUUAUUUUUGAAAUGACGGCUGAGAUUUAAAGCGCUGAACCAUUCAUCGCUUGGCGCUGAGUGGUUCAUCGAUGGUCGCUGAAUGAUUCAUCGCUGGGAUGACGUGGACUGCUAAUCUAGCUGCUAGAUUAGCACUCCCAAAAGACUUAGGAGGUAGCCCUGACUGCUAAUCUAGCUGCU
Molecule: long non-coding RNA, 5506 nt
Organism: Papaver somniferum (opium poppy)
Lineage: Eukaryota; Viridiplantae; Streptophyta; Magnoliopsida; Ranunculales; Papaveraceae
Exons: 3
Source: RefSeq, a predicted model, not a curated record